UGGGGAAUAUUGCACAAUGGGCGCAAGCCUGAUGCAGCCAUGCCGCGUGUGUGAAGAAGGCCUUCGGGUUGUAAAGCACUUUCAGCGGGGAGGAAGGCGAUAAGGUUAAUAACCUUGUCGAUUGACGUCACCCGCAGAAGAAGCACCGGCCAACUCCGUGCCAGCAGCCGCGGUAAUACGGAGGGUGCAAGCGUUAAUCGGAAUUACUGGGCGUAAAGCGCACGCAGGCGGUUUGUUAAGUCAGAUGUGAAAUCCCCGGGCUCAACCUGGGAACUGCAUCUGAUACUGGCAAGCUUGAGUCUCGUAGAGGGGGGUAGAAUUCCAGGUGUAGCGGUGAAAUGCGUAGAGAUCUGUAGGAAUACCGGUGGCGAAGGCGGCCCCCUGGACGAAGACUGACGCUCAGGUGCGAAAGCGUGGGGAGCAAACAGG
This 429-nucleotide ribosomal RNA is filed under the name Chloroflexota bacterium. RNAcentral describes it as "Chloroflexi bacterium partial 16S ribosomal RNA". It matches the Rfam family "Bacterial small subunit ribosomal RNA", at positions 355 to 776 of the family's 1533-position model. The record is from RNAcentral. Lineage: Bacteria; Bacillati; Chloroflexota.